Molecule: ribosomal RNA, 272 nt
Filed under: Escherichia coli
Lineage: Bacteria; Pseudomonadati; Pseudomonadota; Gammaproteobacteria; Enterobacterales; Enterobacteriaceae
Description: partial 16S ribosomal RNA
Rfam family: Bacterial small subunit ribosomal RNA
Source: RNAcentral
AAAUUGAAGAGUUUGAUCAUGGCUCAGAUUGAACGCUGGCGGCAGGCCUAACACAUGCAAGUCGAACGGUAACAGGAAGCAGCUUGCUGCUUCGCUGACGAGUGGCGGACGGGUGAGUAAUGUCUGGGAAACUGCCUGAUGGAGGGGGAUAACUACUGGAAACGGUAGCUAAUACCGCAUAACGUCGAAAGACCAAAGAGGGGGACCUUCGGGCCUCUUGCCAUCGGAUGUGCCCAGAUGGGAUUAGCUUGUUGGUGGGGUAAUGGCUCACC